This 273-nucleotide unclassified non-coding RNA is filed under the name uncultured bacterium. Its description in RNAcentral is "contains 16S-23S intergenic spacer region". The record is from RNAcentral.
ACCUUACCAACACCGCCUUGGUUCAGGGUUUCAUCACCACUUACUGGAACUAUUGCAAAAGUCUCCAGCUUAGCUUCCUGCCUCCAGACUCUCUUGCCUACAGUUUAUUCUCCACACUCUUGACAAGAGUAACCCGUACACCACGUGCAUGCAUGCUAAGUCACUUUAGUUUUGCCCAACUCUUUGUGACCCUGUGGACUGUAGCCUGCCAGGCUCCUCUCUCCAUGGGAUUUCCCAGGCAAGAAUGCUGGAUUGGGUUGCUAUAUUCUCUUC